Molecule: ribosomal RNA, 664 nt
Filed under: Metridia gerlachei
Lineage: Eukaryota; Metazoa; Arthropoda; Copepoda; Calanoida; Metridinidae
Description: SSU rRNA
Rfam family: Eukaryotic small subunit ribosomal RNA
Source: RNAcentral
AGAUUAAGCCAUGCAUGUCUAAGUACAAGCCUCACUAAGGUGAAACCGCGAAUGGCUCAUUAAAUCACACCUAAUCUACUGGAUAGUAGACAGUUACUUGGAUACCUGCGGUAAUUCUGCAGCUAAUACAUGCUAUUAAGCCUCGACUCACGAAGAGGCGCUUUUAUUAGAUCAAAACCGAUCGGCUUCGGCCGUACCUUUGGUGAUUCUGAAUAACUUUGAGCUGAUCGCAUGGCCUCGCGCCGGCGACAUAUCCUUCGAAGGUGUGCCCUAUCAUCUGUCGACUGUGGCAUAGACGCCCACAGUGGAUUUGACGGGUAACGGAGAAUCAGGGUUCGAUUCCGGAGAGGGAGCCUUAAAAACGGCUACCACAUCCAAGGAAGGCAGCAGGCACGCAAAUUACCCAAUGACCGAAGGUCGAGGUAGUGACGAAAAAUAACGAUACGGGACUCAUCCGAGGCCCCGUAAUCGGAAUGAGUACAGUUUAAAAUAUUCCCCGAGGAUCUAUUGGAGGGCAAGUCUGGUGCCAGCAGCCGCGGUAAUUCCAGCUCCAAUAGCGUAUAUUAAAGUUGUUGCGGUUAAAAAGCUCGUAGUUGGAUCUCGGCGAGUAGAGGGCGGUAUGCUUCGUAGCAUUACUGCCCUAUUACCCGUAGUUUUGCCAGAG